This 960-nucleotide long non-coding RNA is filed under the name Lytechinus variegatus (green sea urchin). Its description in RNAcentral is "uncharacterized LOC121408589". The record is from RNAcentral. Lineage: Eukaryota; Metazoa; Echinodermata; Echinoidea; Temnopleuroida; Toxopneustidae.
AAGCUUUGAUAAAUAUCGGUAUAAAACACGGCGAAUUGACCUGUUUAAGGUCCGUAGACAGAAGGCUUGAACAGGGGGUUGUACAAGAUACCGGCACAUGUAAAGCGCAUGCGUACGCGUGCGCAGUGCUAUGCUAGUGGUCGGAAGAUGGCGUUGAGUAUGUUCGACUCGGAGACUGCUGCAGUGCACUGGAAAAAUCGUGUUUAAUCUCCGUUUUAGAAAAUGAAAGAUUUGGGGUGACAAACCUGCUUCAGGAGUGGGACUUCCCACAUUUAGUUCCAAUCUUUAGAGUUAAAUGUUGCAGAAGAUGAGCACGAAGAAGACACCUACUGGAUGCAAUAUUACUCAUCACCUGACAACAUUGUUGUUAAUGUGACGAACCUCGGUACCGAGAUAUGAGUUGACUAGAGGAAACCCGCGACCAAGCACAGCAGAAAUUCUUGACAAAUAUCUACAGCUUUUGGGAAUGAUUGAUCAAGACUUUGAUUUAACAAUUGAUGCAGCUCCUGGUGCCCUUUUCACAAUGUGGCCAAAGUUGUCCAGGCAGACUUUGAAAUUUGCGGAGAAGAUUAAUCUAGGGUAUAGAAAGAUCCUAGGGGCUGGAGUGGACCAGAAAAUGACGCAGAGUCAACAAUGAAGAAAAUUUGGCUUUCAGUACUUCCUGGGAUUUUGAUCGGCAGAACGAAAGGGGAAUGAGGCAAAUUAAAUGUGCCGUACUUCAAAGUCUUGAAUCUUUCAUCAAUCUCCAAUUAGUAAGUAUUGAUUAUCAUCUUACUUUUUCAAAGUUUUUAUUUAUUUAUUUAUUUUUUGGCCAAUUUAGGUUAAAGCUCUGAUUUUCCUGAACAAUAUUAGAACGUUACUGUUGGCAAUCUUUGAGAGCACUUAGGUUUGACUGUAGCGCAUGCUCACUUGACCAAGGCAAGUGAAAAUAUCAAAGUGCUUAAGUUGCUUACCCAAAAA